Molecule: non-coding RNA, 21 nt
Filed under: Caenorhabditis elegans
Lineage: Eukaryota; Metazoa; Nematoda; Chromadorea; Rhabditida; Rhabditidae
Source: RNAcentral
UUUUUAAACGGUUAUCUCUAA